UGUUGCUAAGACCAUGGAGGAAUAUUGACUGUUCAAGGAACCACAAGAACGCAAAGAAGGAGGAACAAAUGGGGGAUGAUGAAAUAAACAGGCAGCAGGUGCACAGACUCCUCGCAAUGCAAGGCCACUGCCAGGGAAUGCUGGAGGGGUGAUGCUAGCAAUUGAAGAUUGUCUCUCCUACCCUCUUCAAUGCCUCUUUCAGCAAUAUGAAGUUAAAACCAGAUUAGUGUUGGGUCUGAAGUUCCAAAUCCUGCUGCCUCUGUGAAGUCUUUCUGCUCAUGCUAGAAGCAAUAUCACCUCUUCUAGAAUUAUAAUAUCAUCCUCUAUGCCACUGAGAGUAUUAGUAAGGCAGUAUUUCUGAAAGAGCACUCCACCACUACCUCUGGGAUUUUCUUGCAAGCUACUGAUACCAUCUUUGCAAGAAUGGAGGCAAACAUUCAGGCUACCAGAAUUUAAUCUCUGUAAUUUCCUUGCCAACAGCCAUAAUAAAUGCUUCUUGUUUUCAGGUGAGGUGAAAUGUGAAAAAGUGUUCAUCAGAAUUGGUGAAAUAUGGCAAUUACAACUUUAUUUAAAACAAUGCACGUCACUUUUUGAAAAUAUUUGAAAACUUCUGCUAUAGUCAAAAGAACCUUGGUCUUAAGGAAUCAGAGGACCUGGGUUGAAUACUAGUUCUCUUGACUACCUAUGGCAAGUAACAUAAACUGUCUUAACUUCCUCUGAGGAAUAAGCAAUUUACCUUGUGGGGUGAUUGCAAGAAUUAAAAGAAAAUUUAAAUUCCACAAAAGCAGAAAUAAUUCUAUCCUGUUUGCCACGAUCUUUCUAUUCUCUCAAGAAGUAACAGGGACCUAGAAAGAAUAAAUGAAACAAUGAAUGAACAGUUAAUACAUAGCAAACUACAUGUAGAACUGUCUGUGUUGGAAUGUUGCCAUGGUGGAAGGCAGUAUGUUCUAGGAGAAAAUGCAGCAAAAAAUGUUUCAGUAAGGAACAUUCUUUAGUCCCUCUCUCUAUUUUUCCCCAGUCAUUUUGUGGUUUUGGCUGCUAUUGGCUUGUAUCUGCUUCCCAAAUGCUAGUAAUUUCUUCCAAUCUAAAGUUGCUUGUUUAUUUUCUUGUAUAUUGUAAAACAAAGGCAACAUAAUUGCAGGCCAGAAAGCUAUUUUCUCACUCUUGAAUUCUUAAAAAUGUCAUUUGUUCUAGGUUUUUUUCGCAUGUAUUUAUUAUUGAAAUAUUAAGAGACACAAAAAACAUGGAAAAGAAAAAAAUCAUUAUUUCAAAUUCCUAACCUAGAGAGAAUAAUUACUAAUACUUUUUCUUACUUAAUUGGCAAAAUAUAUAUUUUUUUGUAAUUUGAUUUUUCACUUCAUAUAGUUGCAUAUUUCUCCAUAUACUCCAUUUAAAUGUUCUUCACAAAUAUUGUUUAUGAUACAUGCUCUAUUAUAAUCUAUUUAAGUAAUCUAAACUUCCUGGAAAUUUAGGUCAUUUCCAAUUUUUCACUAUUUAAAAUAUCACAGGAAUGAACAUUCUUGAA
RNAcentral lists this long non-coding RNA (1525 nucleotides) under Homo sapiens (human). RNAcentral's name for it is "HSALNT0376814". Lineage: Eukaryota; Metazoa; Chordata; Mammalia; Primates; Hominidae. The record is from RNAcentral.